RNAcentral lists this ribosomal RNA (445 nucleotides) under uncultured organism. RNAcentral's name for it is "partial 16S ribosomal RNA". It matches the Rfam family "Bacterial small subunit ribosomal RNA", at positions 335 to 797 of the family's 1533-position model. The record is from RNAcentral.
ACUCCUGCGGGAGGCAGCAGUGGGGAAUAUUGGACAAUGGGCGCAAGCCUGAUCCAGCCAUGCCGCGUGAGUGAUGAAGGCCCUAGGGUUGUAAAGCUCUUUUGUGCGGGAAGAUAAUGACGGUACCGCAAGAAUAAGCCCCGGCUAACUUCGUGCCAGCAGCCGCGGUAAUACGAAGGGGGCUAGCGUUGCUCGGAAUCACUGGGCGUAAAGGGUGCGUAGGCGGGUCUUUAAGUCAGGGGUGAAAUCCUGGAGCUCAACUCCAGAACUGCCUUUGAUACUGAAGAUCUUGAGUUCGGGAGAGGUGAGUGGAACUGCGAGUGUAGAGGUGAAAUUCGUAGAUAUGCGCAAGAACACCAGUGGCGAAGGCGGCUCACUGGCCCGAUACUGACGCUGAGGCACGAAAGCGUGGGGAGCAAACAGGAUUAGAUACCCGAGUAGUCCC